GGAUUUAUUGGGCGUAAAGCGAGCGCAGGCGGUUUGAUAAGUCUGAAGUUAAAGGCUGUGGCUCAACCAUAGUUCGCUUUGGAAACUGUCAAACUUGAGUGCAGAAGGGGAGAGUGGAAUUCCAUGUGUAGCGGUGAAAUGCGUAGAUAUAUGGAGGAACACCGGUGGCGAAAGCGGCUCUCUGGUCCGUAACUGACGCUGAGGCUCGAAAGCGUGGGGAGCGAACAGGAUUAGAUACCCUGGUAGUCCACGCCGUAAACGAUGAGUGCUAAGUGUUGGGGGUUUCCGCCCUCAGUGCUGCAGCUAACGCAUUAAGCACUCCGCCUGGGGAGUAC
Molecule: ribosomal RNA, 335 nt
Filed under: uncultured bacterium
Lineage: Bacteria
Description: bacterial SSU rRNA
Rfam family: Bacterial small subunit ribosomal RNA
Source: RNAcentral